GCCGAUAUUUGAAGUUGUCAGCUGUGCUAUUGUGGGUUAACUGUUCAGAAAGCCUACUUUUUUUUUUUUUUUUUCCUAAGCAGUAAAGCUGUUUCUGUAGUCUUAUUUUAUUUGGUAACUAUGCUGUGUUUAAAUAUAGUUUGUGGGUGAAAUUCUUAUAAGUUAGCAUUUGUACUUUAUAUGGUUUUGUGCUAGGAAACCUCGGUUGAAGAAAAGCACUCACAGGGAACUCUAGCAAAUGUCCUUCCCUCAGGGUGUAUACUGUAGGCACUCCCGCUGUUAUUUUCUGACACCAGAAAGAAGCAAUGCAAACAGGGAAGAACACAGAACUCAAAACACCGUGGGAACUGAUUGGCUCCAUGUCUUUGAUAAAACUGUUGAUUUGGCUGUCCCUGGGCACUGAGGAUUUUGGUAUCAAGAAGUUAGGGCAGUUUCCCAGACCUCGGCAGGUAUAUGCUAACUAUGGCUAGUAACUGGCAGUGGAC
RNAcentral lists this long non-coding RNA (485 nucleotides) under Capra hircus (goat). RNAcentral describes it as "lncRNA (ENSCHIG00000000901.1)". Lineage: Eukaryota; Metazoa; Chordata; Mammalia; Artiodactyla; Bovidae. The record is from RNAcentral.